GGACGCGUAGCUUAAUUCGGGAAAGCGGGAAGCUAUUGGCUGACACAGUUGCACGUUCAAGUCGUGCCGCGUCCA
RNAcentral lists this transfer RNA (75 nucleotides) under Caudoviricetes sp. Its description in RNAcentral is "tRNA-OTHER". The record is from RNAcentral. Lineage: Duplodnaviria; Heunggongvirae; Uroviricota; Caudoviricetes.